Molecule: long non-coding RNA, 372 nt
Filed under: Elaeis guineensis (African oil palm)
Lineage: Eukaryota; Viridiplantae; Streptophyta; Magnoliopsida; Arecales; Arecaceae
Description: long non-coding RNA (EGUI_LNC082014)
Source: RNAcentral
ACCCUACCCAAGCUCAGGAAUAAAGAUAUGCAUAUAAUCUAAAAGUUAAAAUGAGGAUAAGAUCAAAUCUCAAUACCUUUGUGCAGAUAGAAAUUUAUCACUACCGAUGAUCUCAAAUUCGAAUGUCCUUGAGCUGCACACGUGUCCGGCCUCUACAGGUAUCCACCAAAAACAAUAUUGAAUCCUUCCUCUCAUGAUAGAUCCUUCUUCUCUAAGUAGGAUCUUUGCUUCUUUGAACCUUGAUCAGUAAAUAAUCUUGAUUGCAACUUCAACCCUUGAACUGCAGCAUUCUUCUCUUUGUUCCUUACUGUAGAAGAGACCCUUCUUCUUCUUGGCAUAUGGAAGAUGGGCAUCCAACCUUUGGGCAUGGGA